CAUGAACACUUUCACUUUCCAAACACCACUUGAAGCGUACUUCCGUGUUUGCGGGCUAUCUAUUUUAUCAUCGAAAAUAACUUUAAUAACAACUUGUUGGCCUACAGUUGAAAACGUUUUCAUUACGUCCUCUACGUCCUUCUUCCAAACGCUCGUCUAUCGGUAUGUGCAUUCGUCUGAAUGAAUCAAUCCGCCCGGGGCCUGUAUUGAAAUGUAAAUAGACUACAUAAUGUCAAUCAAACGUUAAUUUAUCAGUGAAUAUAUAUAUGCAACCCAAAAUGAACCAUUAUUCAUUAUUAAACUAUUAAUAAUAUUCAGUGACCUGGUAAAUAUUUGAUUUUUUUCGACAAAGAAAACUGUAUUGAAGAGUUGCAGUUGCAUCUGCGCCAAUGGAGCCGUUGGAUUUUCUGACCGAUGAGGAAUUACUGCGGUUUUUCCGCUGUAGUAGGACUGAGAUGUCGUGCAUGGAGCAACCACACACAUUUCUUAACCAGCUCCGAGACCACAACCUCAUUCCGGAAGAAAUGUACAAGAAGCUGAUUCGGUGUAAGAGUAAGGAGGUGAGGGAGAAGGGUGUGUACCAGGUGUUGGACUGGGUGGAGGCAGAGAGGCCCGACAGCAUCAAGGUGUUCUGGAACUGUGUGUUCAGGGACCACCUCCUGCAGCAGUACCCCACGUUACGCCUGCUCCGAAACCACCUGCUGGACGGGUCGUUCACAUUCUAUGAGAAACUGACAAAGAAGGUGGAGAAGGAUGAGGAGGAGGAGGAUAAAAAGAAGGCUUCAGAGGAAGGAGAAGAUGGGGAGGAGGAAGAGGAGAAAGAGGAGGAGGAGGUGAAAACAAGGAAAAAUUGUAAAGAGAAAGAGAGAAGUGAGAGUGCUGAGGAGGAGCAGCCCAGCACAUCCACCCAGUCCAACCCCAGUCAGAAGAGGAAAGUCCAGAGUCCAACCAACUGUUUUGCUUCCAGGAAGGGGGAGAAAGAUGACAUCUGGACCUGGCCCAUCUACAAGACCCAGCUCCCAGUCACCUGUGGGGACAAAGAAGGCAUUCUCAUCAGGAACAAGCUGGCCAAAGGGGAGAGGUGCAUUGUGGUCCAGGGUCGCUGGUUCACCCCAAGUGGCUUUGAGGAAUUUGGGGGGAAGAAGAGCAGUAAGAAGUGGAAGUACAGUAUCCGAUGUAGCGGCACCACUCUGGGAGAACUGAUCCAGGAAGGUCAUUUAACUUCACCAGACUUUAAAAGAAGAAAAAGUGCACAGGAUCACCACCCUGGUUCCUCAUCCACUGUUCGGAGGUCCCUACAAAUGAAUAGAACGAGUGCACUGUUUCCCUCCAACCAAUCAGUGGGCUCAAUCACACAAUCUGAGGAGGAUGACGAUGAGGAGGACGAGGUAGCGGACGAAGCAGAGCAGGAAAGAGAGGAAGGAGAGAGAGAAGAGCAGGCAAACACUGCUGAAGGAUUGAGCAGGAAAGGAGGCAGCCAUGGUGCUGUGAAAAAGUCUGUCUUCAAAGUCACCUGUGGAGACAUCAAUGGGAUGCUACAUAAGGAUCGGUUUGCAUCAGGGUCGUGUGGAAAGAGCAUCCGUACGGAGCUGCGCUGGAUGACCCCGGUGGAGUUUGUGAAGGGGGAGUCAGCUUUGGAAGAUCCCUCCUGGAAGAAAGACAUCCAGUGGGACGGGAAACCACUCAGCCUCCUCAUAGAGAGUAAGAUCUUGGUCAUCCACUCUCUCCUGUGUAAGUGCAAGCUGUGCAGCUCCACAACCAAAGACAGGGAUAACGAUGACGACUGCUUCAUCUGUAGAAGCCAGGGUAGCUUGAUAUGCUGUGAUGAGUGUCCUCGCUCCUUCCAUCAGAGAUGUCAUCUUCCUAAUGUGGAUGAUGCUAUCCUUGGGGAUGAUCGUCCGUGGUUGUGUACAUUCUGUGUACUGAGGGCCAGUCAGUCGUGGAGUUACCCCACACAAAUGACCUACCAGGAAGCCUUGACCUGCCGAAUCUCUGACCACCCACUGGAAUGCCAGUACCUCCUGCUGUGUCUCUACCAUGCAGAUGAGGACCACAUCUUUGUGAAAGAUCCUUGCAUCAAUGUGAGAAACUACACCAGUGUGAUAAAGACCCCUAUAUGGCUGGAUAGGGUUGUGGAGAAGCUGCAGCAGAAUCUCUACCAGUCGGUGCAACACUUUGUGUCUGAUGUGUUGCUUAUCUUCACCAACUGUGCCACAUUUAACAGGGACAAUGCAGAGUUCUGUGUGAUGGGCGAAAGAUUGAAGGAUCUAUUUGAGAGAGAGUUCAAGAGUACAUUCAGCAUCCAACUUCAGCAUCCAACUGCAUCCAACAGCCAGUAGAGCCUGUACUGUACUCUCACUAUUUUUUAUAUUUUUUAUUUUAUUGAACCUUUAUUUAACCAGGUAGGCUAGUUGAGAACAAGUUCUCAUUUGCAACUGUGACCUGGCCAAGAUAAAGCAAAGCAGUUCGACACAUACAACAACACAUGGAGUUACACAUGGAAUAAACAAACAUACAAUCAAUAAUACAGUAGAAAAAUCUAUAUACAGCAUGUGCAAAUGAGGUAGGAUAAGAGAGGUAAAGGCAAUAAAUAGGCCAUGGUGGCGAAGUAAUUACAAUAUAGCAAUUAAACACUGGAAUGGUAGAAUGUACAGAAGAUGAAUGUGCAAGUAGAGAUACUGGGGUGCAAAGGAGCAAGAUAAAUAAAUAAAUACAGUAUGGGGAUGAGGUAGAUUGGAUGGGCUAUUUACAGAUGAGCUAUGUACAGGUGCAGUGAUCUGUGAGCUAUGAGACACAGGGAAUAUUCACCAUGCCCUGAUCUUUCUAUAGAGCCUUCAUACAGACUUGCAUGUACAUUGUUAUCCAAAUCAAAUCCAAUUUUAUUUGUCACAUCCACAUGGUUAGCAGAUGUUAGUGCGAGUGUAGCGAAAUGCUUGUGCUUCUAGUUCCGACAAUGCAGUAAUAACCAACAAGUAAUCUAGCUAACAAUUCCAAAACUACUACCUUAUAGACACAAGUGUAAGGGGAUAAAGAAUAUGUACAUAAAGAUAUAUGAAUGAGUGAUGGUACAGAGCGGCAUAGGCAAGAUACAGUAGAUGGUAUUGAGUGCAGUAUAUACAUAUGAGAUGAGUAUGUAAACAAAGUGGCAUAGUUAAAGUGGCUAGUGAUACAUGUAUUACAUAAGGGUGCAGUAGAUGAUAUAGAGUACAGUAUAUACGUAUACAUAUGAGAUGAAUAAUGUAGGGUAUGUAAACAUUAUAUUAGGUAGCAUUUCAUGAAUUUUCAUCUAGUCAUUUCAUGAAUUUAUUUAAUUCAUUCUAACAGUCAAAAUGGGUGUGUCAUAAUAAUUGAAAUAUAAUGGUGAUAACAUUUCAUUUAAUCUCUCAUUCAAGAAAGAGCCUUAGAAUGUCUUACCUUCCAGGUUCUUACUUCUGGUUAGGCCUCACUAUAUUUAUGUUCAGGGAUUCUGUUGAAAAUAAACUCAUGAAUUUCUGAAACAUUGUAGAACAUACUGUAGGUCUACUUGUUUGACUGUGUGUAGCCUUCCAGAAUGUGGUUCUGUUGAGGAGAAUAUCAUCAGAGCAGAAGCGCCCUCUUCAGGGCAGUUUGGGCAGCGUCUGCUUUGCGUCUCUGCCCAACGCUGGUAUCGUCACCACAAUUGCCAGCAGUGAAUCCCUGCCCAAAGCUGCGCAGCAGCGUUAUGCAGACAUGCUUGGUAAAGAAUGCAGAAGUGUCCACUUAAUUUGAGGGCUGAGGGUGUGUCUUUUAAGUGUUUGGAACGUAACCUCAGAGCCCUUUGACAAAGAAGACGAAUCAUCUUCGCUGCUUUCGAGUAGAGUGCAGCUUCAUGAUAUUUCUCCGGGAGAAGGCGGUCCAAAAGAUGACCGCGGCUGGCAACUAAAACGACUACCAAACCCAUAGUACUUUCAUGGACAGCACUGGGGCUGGAAGACUUGGAGGAAGAGGGAAGUCCAGGGGAAGCAGAGUCGCUGCCACCAACAAGACAGCUGGACUACCACUUCUUUGUGGAAGUGGUGUUGAGAGCCACGGCCAGAGGGGCCGCCGUCGGGCUACUUAGAGGAGUAGCAGUCGUCUCAUUGGUCUGGAUAGCAGAGGUCCUGUCUGGGUCGCUUCGCUGCUCAACGCCCCCUUCUUGGGGCUUCUGAUCGGGCUGGGGGUGGGUGCUGCAGAUGGGGUGGACCGGGCGGUGGAGUUCCUGGAGCCUUGGGUGUGGUGGGAGGUUGUGGGUAAUGAGGUGAGCGGGGCUGGGGGCCAGGUUGGCUACAGUGAGUUGGGGUGGCCAUUGGGGUUUGAUGAGCAUCUUGGCAGUCAGGGCAAUAAAGAACGCGGUGAAGGGUGCUGAGAUCAGGAUGGUGCCGUUCCAGACCUGACACCAGGAUAAAGUGACUAAGGGGGCAUUGAAAUGAUAUUGAAUUCAGCUUAUAUCACACUACGCCACAAACAUAACGUUCAAAUGCAGAGACUCUAUGACCAUUGCUUGAGGUUGGCGUGAAAUCUGUUGCCUAUCUCUGCUGCACUGUAUCAGCACAAUGGACGGCGCUCUACACACUAAAGCAAGGCGGUUUUGGUAAUGAAUAUAGGCUACAAGAUUCAGUUCCUUCAAAAAGUAUUCAUAGUGUUACAGCCUGAAUUAAAAAUGGAUUAAAUACACAUUCUCACCCA
RNA transcript from Oncorhynchus kisutch (coho salmon), 4683 nucleotides. It is a transcript of the gene named nuclear body protein SP140-like protein, with no coding region annotated. The transcript is spliced from 17 exons. Lineage: Eukaryota; Metazoa; Chordata; Actinopteri; Salmoniformes; Salmonidae. The record is from RefSeq and is a predicted model, not a curated record.